UACGUAGGGGGCAAGCGUUGUCCGGAUUUAUUGGGCGUAAAGCGCUCGCAGGUGGUUCGUCGCGUCGUGCGUGAAAGACCCCGGCUCAACUGGGGGAGGUCGUGCGAUACGGGCGGACUGGAGGCCAGUAGGGGGAUGCGGAAUUCCGGGUGUAGUGGUGGAAUGCGUAGAGAUCCGGAAGAACACCGGUGGCGAAGGCGCUCUGCUAGGCCGUAACUGACACUGAGGGACGAAAGCUAGGGGAGCGAAUGGG
This 253-nucleotide ribosomal RNA is filed under the name uncultured bacterium. RNAcentral describes it as "partial 16S ribosomal RNA". It matches the Rfam family "Bacterial small subunit ribosomal RNA", at positions 524 to 776 of the family's 1533-position model. The record is from RNAcentral.